AUGGAUGCACAGACACAUGUGUCUUCGGGUCAUGGAAUUUUUCCAGUGUUCAUAUGGGACCUUCAGGUUUCUGCCAGACUGUUUAUCUCACCCUUGGAUCCAGGCUGGCUGGGGCCAGAGGGACCGGUGUGUGUGUGUGUGUGUGUGUGUGGCGGGGAGGGGGCAGGUGUGUGUGUGUGUGUGUGUGGCGGGGAGGGGGCAGGGUGUGUGUGUGUGUGUGUGGCGGGAGGGGCAGGGGUGUGUGUGUGUGUGUGGCGGGAGGGGCAGGGUGUGUGUGUGUGUGGUGGGAGGCAGGGUGUGUGUGUGUGUGGUGGGGAGGGGGCAGGGGUGUGUGUGUGUGUGUGGUGGGGAGGGGGCAGGGUGUGUGUGUGUGUGUGUGUGUGUGGCGGGAGGCAGGCGAGGAGAGGGAGGAGGAGACAGCAGAGUUCACCAAGGCAGGGGUGUGUGUGUGUGUGUGUGUGUGUGUGUGUGUGGCGGGAGGGGCAGGCGAGGAGGGAGGAGGAGACAGCAGAGUUCACCAAGGCAGGGGUGUGUGUGUGUGUGUGUGUGUGGCGGGGAGGGGGCAGGCGAGGAGAGGGAGGAGGAGACAGCAGAGUUCACCAAGGCAGGGGUGUGUGUGUGUGUGUGUGUGUGUGUGUGUGGCGGGGAGGGGGCAGGCGAGGAGAGGGAGGAGGAGACAGCAGAGUUCACCAAGGCAGGGUGUGUGUGUGUGUGUGUGUGUGUGUGUGUGUGUGUGGCGGGAGGGGCAGGAGAGGGAGGAGGAGACAGCAGAGUUCACCAAGGCAGGUGUGUGUGUGUGUGUGUGUGUGUGUGUGGCGGGAGGGGCAGGCGAGGAGAGGGAGGAGGAGACAGCAGAGUUCACCAAGGCAGGGUGUGUGUGUGUGUGUGUGUGUGUGUGUGGCGGGAGGGGCAGGCGAGAGAGGGAGGAGGAGACAGCAGAGUUCACCAAGGCAGUGUGUGUGUGUGUGUGUGUGUGUGUGUGUGGGGAGGGGCAGGCGAGGAGAGGGAGGAGGAGACAGCAGAGUUCACCAAGGCAGGGGUGUGUGUGUGUGUGUGUGUGUGUGUGUGUGUGUGUGUGGCGGGGAGGGGGCAGGCGAGGAGAGGGAGGAGGAGACAGCAGAGUUCACCAAGGCAGGGUGUGUGUGUGUGUGUGUGUGUGUGGCGGGAGGGGCAGGAGGAGAGGGAGGAGGAGACAGCAGAGUUCACCAAGGCAGGUGUGUGUGUGUGUGUGUGUGUGUGUGUGUGGCGGGAGGGGCAGGCGAGGAGAGGAGGAGGAGACAGCAGAGUUCACCAAGGCAGGGGUGUGUGUGUGUGUGUGUGUGUGUGUGUGUGUGUGUGGCGGGGAGGGGGCAGGCGAGGAGAGGGAGGAGGAGACAGCAGAGUUCACCAAGGCCGACGGGAAGGAAACAGAUCUGCUCUAAGGUGCCGGCCACGGACGCACGGUGUGGUCAUAGUGACCUCUUGUGGCUGGAGCUGAGAACAGCGUCUUCCUCAGCUCUUCGAGGCUCUCUGGUCCCACUGGCGACAGAACUGUGGUUGAGUCUCAGUGGAGAUGGACUGUAAGCAUAACAUACACACAGGAUUUUGAAUCCUUAGUAUAAAAAAAAAAAGGUUAAAUUUCUCAAGGUUUAGGGAUUAGAUUUUAUAUAGUGCCUGAAGAACUACGGAUGGAGGUUCGUGACAUUGUACAGGAGGCAGGGAUCAAGACCAUCCCCAAGAAAAAGAAAUGUAAAAAGUCAAAAUGGUUGUCUGAGGAGGCCUUACAAAUAGCUGUGAAGAGAAGCUAAAGGCACAGGAGAAAAGGAAACAUAUACCCAUUUGAAUGCAGAGUUCCAAAGAACAGCAAGGAGAGAUAAGAAAGCCUUCCUCAGUGAUCAAUGCAAAGAAACAGAUGAAAACAACAGAAUGGGAAAGACUAGAGAGCUCUUCAAGAAAAUUGGAGAUACCAAGGAAACAUUUCAUGCAAAGAUGGGUACAAUAAAGGACAGAAAUGGUGUGGACCUAACAGAAGCAGAGGAUAUUAAGAAGAGGUGGCAAGAAUACACAGAAGAACUAUACAAAAAAGAUCUUCAAGACCCAGAUAAUCACAAUGGUAUGAUUACUCACCUAGAGCCAGACAUCCUGGAAUGCGAAGUCAAGUGGGCCUUAGGAACUAUCGCUACGAACAGAGCUAGUGGAGGUGAUGGAAUUCCAGUUGAGUUAUUUCGAAUUUUGUAAAAGUGCUGCACUCAAUAUGCCAGCAAAUUUGGAAAACUCAACAGUGGCCACAGGACUGGAAAAGGUCAGUUUCCAUUCAAAUCCCAAAGAAAGGCAAUACCAAAGAAUGCUCAAAUUACGGCACAAUUGCACUCAUUUCACACGCUAGUAAAGUAACACUCAGAAUUCUCCCAGCCAGGUGAACUUCCAGAUAUCAAGCUGGAUUUAGAAAAGGAAGAGGAACCAGAGAUCAAAUUGCCAACAUCCGUUGGAUCAUCAACAAAGCAAGAGAGUUCCAGAAAAACAUUGACUUCUGCUUUAUUGACUAUGCCAAAGCCUUUGACUGUGUGGAUCACAACAAACUGGAAAAUUCUUCAAGAGAAGGGAAUACCAGACCACCUGAUCUGCCUCCUGAGAAAUCUGUGUGCAGGUCAGGAAGCAACAGUUAGAACUGGACAUAGAAAAACAGACUGGUUCCAAAUAGGAAAAGGAGUACCUCAAGGCUGUAUAUUGUCACCCUGCUUAUUUAACUUAUAUGCAGAGUACAUCAUGAGAAACGCUGGGCUGGAAGAAGCAAAAGCUGGAAUCAAGAUUGCUGGGAGAAAUAUCAGUAACCUCAGAUAUGCAGAUGACACCAACCUUUAUGGCAGAAAGAGAAGAAGAACUAAAGAGCCUCUUGAUGAAAGUGAAAGAGGAGAGUGAAAAAGUUGGUUUAAAACUUAACAUUCAGAAAAGUAAGAUCAUGGCAUCUGGUCCUGUCAGGAAGCAUUGAACAGGAGGCUUCCUGUGUGUUGUUUUGGACCUGUCAGGAAUUCUCUGUUCCUUAUUAAUUCCUGAAUAUUCAGGAAUUGGGUGGGGGGGGGGCUAGGGAAUCCAGGCAUUUCCUUCGUUAGUUUUUCUAUACGGUGAUAAGUACACUCUUCCUUUUUAUGAACCAUAUGGUAAAAGUGAUUAUUUACAACUCUCUCUCUCCUUAAUAAGGAUUGCCUAUGUUUUGUAAGUCUGGAAUUUUAAUCUUUAUCUUUGCUGAGAAUAACUACAGUACAUAUGCCCACACCAUGUUGAUUAAAACACAUUUGCUCCAUCAGAACUCUGGUCCCCAUGUCUUUCUUUCUCUCACUCUCUCUCUCUCUCUCUCUCUCUCUCUCUCAGGCUGAUCCCCUGGAGCACAGAGGCUCUCUGAGUUCACUUUCCUGCCCGGGCUUCUGAGACCCUCUUGAGAAGGCGCUCUGUGCCUUCACCCCAUUGAGAGGGCGCCUGAGGCCUCCAUGAACAAUAAAGCCCCGUGCAGGGGCUUUAUUGGCUUUCUGCGUAAACCAAGGAAUAUCAGCCUUUUUCUUUCUCCUUUACUUUCUUAUCGGUUGACUCCGGACCACCAGGUUCCAGUCCAUUAAAGGACCUCAACAUGGUCCCAUCACUUUAUGGCAAAUAGAUGGGGAAACAGUGGCAGACUUUAUUUUUAGGGGCUCCAAAAUCACUGCAGAUGGUAACUGCAGCCAUGAAAUUGAAAGAUGCUUGCUCCUUGGAAGAAAAGUUAUGACUCACCUAGACAGCAUAUUAAAAAGCAGAGACACUCCUUUGCCAACAAAGGUCCGUCUAGUCAAGGCUAUGGUUUUUCUAGUAGUCAUGAAUGGAUGUGAGAGUUGGACCAUAAAGAAAGCUGAGCACCGAAGAAUUAAUGCUUUGGAACUGUGGUGUUGGAGAAGAAUCUUGAGAGUCCCUUGGACAGUCCUUCCCUUCAUUGGAAGGACUGAUGCUGAAGGUUAAACUUCAAUACUUUGGCCACCUAAUGUGAAAAACUGACUCAUCUGAAAAGACCCUAAUGAUGGGAGGAGAAGGGGACGACAGAGGAUGAGAUGGUUGGAUGGCAUCACAGACUCUGGAAGCUGGUGAUGGACAGGGACGUCUGGCCUAUUGCAGUCCAUGGGGUCGCAAAGAGUCGGACAUGAUUGAGUGACUGAACUGACACAUUAACAUAGUAAUAUUUUGGAUAUCUGUUGUUGUUGUUCAGUUGCUAAGUCGUGUCUGACUCUUUGUGACCGCAUGGACUGCAUCACAUCAGGCCUCCCUGUCCAUCACCAUCUCCCAGACUUUGCUCAAACUCAUGUCCAUUGAGUUGGUGAUGCCAUCCAACCAUCUCAUCCUCUGUCACCCCCCUUCUCCUCCUGCCCUCAAUCUUUUCCAGCCUCAGGGUCUUUUCCAGUGAGUCAGCUCUUUACAUCAUGUGGGCAUAGUAUUGGAGCUUCAGCUUCAGCACCAGACCAUCCAAUGAAUAUUCAGGACUGAUUUCCUUUAGGAUGGGCUGGUUUGAUCUUGCAGUCCAAGGGACUCUCAAGAGUCUCCAACACCACAGUUCAAAAAUAUCAGUUCUUCAGUGCUCAGCCUUCUUUAUGGUCCAACUCUCACAUCCAUACAUGACCACUGGAAAAACCAUAGUUUUGACUCUAUGGACCUAUGUCAACAAAGUGAUGUCUCUACUUUUUUUUUUUUGACAAAGUCAUGUCUCUGCUUUUUAAUAUACUGUCUAGAUUGGUCAUAACUUUUCUUCCAAGAAGUAAGCGUCCUUUAUUUUCAUGGCUGCAGUCACCAUUUGCAGCGAUUUUGGAGCCCCCCAAAAUAAAGUCUGCCACUGUUUCCCCAUCUAUUUGCCAUGAAGUGGAGGGACCGAAUGCCAUGAUAUUACUUUUCUGAAUGUUGAGUUUUUUUUUUUUUUUCUCAUUUUACUGUGCUUUGCUUUAGUGAACUUUAUAGAUACAUGUUUUUUUUGUUUGUUUUUUUUUCCUUGUUAAUUUUCUGUUUAGUUGAUCUAUCCAUAGGUGUGAGUGGGGUAUUAAAGUCUCCCACUAUUAUUGUGUUAUUGUUAAUUUCUCCUUUCAUACUUGUUAGCAUUUGUCUUACAUAUCAUGUGUGCUCCCAUGUUGGGUGGAUAUAUAUUUAUAAUUGUUAUAUCUUCUUCUUGGAUUGAUCCUUUGAUCAUUAUGUAGUGGCCUUCUUUGUCUCUUUUCACAGCCUUUGUUUUACAGUCUAAUUUAUCUGAUACGAGUAUUGUGACUCCUGCUUUCUUUUGGUCCCAAUUUGCAUGGAAAAUCUUUUUCCCGCCCUUCACUUUCAGUCUGUAUGUGUCCCCUGUUUUGAGGUGGGUCUCCUGUAGACAACAUAUGUAGGGGUCUUGUUUUUGUAUCCAUUCAGCCAGUCUUUGUCUUUUGGUUGGGGCAUUCAACCCAUUUACGCUUAAGGUAAUUACUGAUAAGUAUGAUCCCGUUGCCAUUUACUUUAUUGUUUUGGGUUCGAGUUUAUACACCAUUUUGUGUUUCCUGUCUAGAGAAUAUCCUUUAGUAUUUGUUGGAGAGCUGGUUUGGUGGUGCAGAAUUCUCUCAGCUUUUGCUUGUCUGAAAAGCUUUUGAUUUCUCCUUCAUACUUGAAUGAGAUCCUUGCUGGGUACAAUAAUCUGGGCUGUAGGUUAUUUUCUUUCAUCAUUUUAAGUAUGUCUUGCCAUU
This 5693-nucleotide long non-coding RNA is filed under the name Bos grunniens (domestic yak). Its description in RNAcentral is "lncRNA (ENSBGRG00000015280.1)". Lineage: Eukaryota; Metazoa; Chordata; Mammalia; Artiodactyla; Bovidae. The record is from RNAcentral.